Molecule: ribosomal RNA, 253 nt
Filed under: uncultured bacterium
Lineage: Bacteria
Description: partial 16S ribosomal RNA
Rfam family: Bacterial small subunit ribosomal RNA
Source: RNAcentral
UACGUAGGGUGCAAGCGUUAAUCGGAAUUACUGGGCGUAAAGCGUGCGUAGACGGUUAUGUAAGUCGGGUGUGAAAGCCCCGGGCUCAACCUGGGAAUUGCAUUCGAGACUGCAUAGCUAGGAUGCGGAAGAGGGAAGUGGAAUUUCCGGUGUAGCGGUGAAAUGCGUAGAUAUCGGAAGGAACAUCAGUGGCGAAAGCGGCUACCUGGACAAUUGCUGACGCUCAGGCACGAAAGCGUGGGGAGCAAAAGGG